AAGCCAGAGGAAACUCUGGUGGA
RNAcentral lists this non-coding RNA (23 nucleotides) under Arabidopsis thaliana (thale cress). RNAcentral also lists the same sequence under 1 other name. The record is from RNAcentral. Lineage: Eukaryota; Viridiplantae; Streptophyta; Magnoliopsida; Brassicales; Brassicaceae.